RNAcentral lists this ribosomal RNA (484 nucleotides) under uncultured bacterium. Its description in RNAcentral is "partial 16S ribosomal RNA". It matches the Rfam family "Bacterial small subunit ribosomal RNA", at positions 30 to 507 of the family's 1533-position model. The record is from RNAcentral.
AUUGAACGCUGGCGGCAGGCCUAACACAUGCAAGUCGAGCGGAUGAAGGGAGCUUGCUCCUGGAUUCAGCGGCGGACGGGUGAGUAAUGCCUAGGAAUCUGCCUGGUAGUGGGGGAUAACGUCCGGAAACGGGCGCUAAUACCGCAUACGUCCUGAGGGAGAAAGUGGGGGAUCUUCGGACCUCACGCUAUCAGAUGAGCCUAGGUCGGAUUAGCUAGUUGGUGGGGUAAAGGCCUACCAAGGCGACGAUCCGUAACUGGUCUGAGAGGAUGAUCAGUCACACGAGAAAGGAAACACGGUCCAGCCCCCUAGGGGGGGGGGCGGGGGGGAUUUUUGGACAGGGGGGGAAGGCCUGACCCAGCCGGGCGGGGUGUGGAGAAAGGGUUUUGGAUUUGUAAACCAUUUAAGGUGGGGGGAAGGGGAAGUAAGUAAAUCCCUUGUUUUUUUAACUUACCCAAAAAAAAAAGCACGGGCUAACUCCGUC